GAUGAACGCUAGCGGCAGGCUUAACACAUGCAAGUCGAGGGGUAACAGGGAGAGCUUGCUUUCUGCUGACGACCGGCGCACGGGUGCGUAACGCGUAUACAAUCUACCUUAUACUGGGGUAUAGCCUUUAGAAAUGAAGAUUAAUCCCCCAUAGUCUCUUUUUGUGGCAUCACUAAAGGAGUAAAGGUUACGGUAUAAGAUGAGUAUGCGUUCUAUUAGUUUGUUGGUGUGGUAACGGCACACCAAGACUACGAUAGAUAGGGGCCCUGAGAGGGGGAUCCCCCACACUGGUACUGAGACACGGACCAGACUCCUACGGGAGGCAGCAGUGAGGAAUAUUGGACAAUGGAGGCAACUCUGAUCCAGCCAUGCCGCGUGUAGGAUGACUGCCCUAUGGGUUGUAAACUACUUUUAUACAGGAAGAAACACCUCUACGUGUAGAGGCUUGACGGUACUGUAAGAAUAAGGAUCGGCUAACUCCGUGCCAGCAGCCGCGGUAAUACGGAGGAUCCAAGCGUUAUCCGGAAUCAUUGGGUUUAAAGGGUCCGUAGGUUGAUAAUUAAGUCAGAGGUGAAAUCUUGCAGCUCAACUGUAAAAUUGCCUUUGAUACUGAUUAUCUUGAGUUAUUAUGAAGUAGUUAGAAUAUGUAGUGUAGCGGUGAAAUGCAUAGAUAUUACAUAGAAUACCAAUUGCGAAGGCAGAUUACUAAUAAUCAACUGACACU
This 724-nucleotide ribosomal RNA is filed under the name bacterium IMCC8490. RNAcentral's name for it is "bacterial SSU rRNA". It matches the Rfam family "Bacterial small subunit ribosomal RNA", at positions 28 to 747 of the family's 1533-position model. The record is from RNAcentral.